This 1558-nucleotide unclassified non-coding RNA is filed under the name Hevea brasiliensis (rubber tree). Lineage: Eukaryota; Viridiplantae; Streptophyta; Magnoliopsida; Malpighiales; Euphorbiaceae. The record is from RNAcentral.
AAAUUAUUUAACAAGGGUACAAUACACAAAACUGCAUCUAAUUGAAUUCAUUGCCCAGUUCUAAUUCACAUACAACCAUUUUCAACAAAAGUUAUCAACUCUAGCACAAGACAGCAAUCGUUCUCAUGAGUUCAACUCAACAAAAAGGCUGGCCUGAGGGUGUAAUCCAGCAUCUUUCAACGACAGAGCGAGCUUCUCUGAGCCAUAGACUGUACGAGGGAAGUUGGACACGAGACUGUACUUUUCAACCUCUAGGCAUCCAAGAGAAUCAACAUAGUCAUACAGAGAUUGUAUAGUUGUACUACAUUGAAAUCUUCUCUCUUUGCGCUCACCAGUAGGAAACCUUACCAAAACUUGAGUAACAUCGGGACCCUUUGCAGGUUCAGGGCCCAGUGACUGUAAUUUCUCCUCGCGCAUUUUAGCCAAUGCAGCUUCUCUUUCAGCAGCUUCACGAGCUGCUCUUUCACGAGCCUCUUCUUCCUCCUUUCUUUUCCUUUCAGCUUCAGCAGCUUCCCUCUCCAGCCUCUCUUGCUCUUCUAUCCUCUGGCGCUCUCUAGCUUGAUCAGCUUCUAGUGCAGCACGAUAAGCAGCAUCUUGCUCCUCCCUCAAACGUAUAUUGUUUCUUCUUUCUUCUGCCUCAACCCUGGCUGUGACAAGCACGGGGGCACUUUCCUCGAUUACUCUUUGCAGUACUGUAAGCAAUUCUUCGGGAGAUUUUGGCCCUUCUGCCUGCUGAAGCAGAGCAAUCCUCUGGUUUGUUGCAGCCAUUACAACAGCACAAAAGGGAAACCUUGACGCCUUCAAGCUAUUACUCAUCUUAAAACCUUCACUAGCUCUAAUACUCCCACCCCAAGCAACAAAGUUCUCAUUAAUAAACGCCACCAAAUCCUCAUUACAUAGCGUCCUCUCACAAAACACAGGCGUAUCUGGAUGAUCCGGCGAAUGCAAAUAAACAAACAGUACCUUAUACUCAUUCCUAGACCUCUGCAAUGCAUCCAUAAAACCUUCAGCAACAAAAUUCGGCCUUAUACUACCAAAAUCCCUCUCGAAGCACGCAACAAAAUCCAUAGCUUCUGAUACCGCUGCAGAUACCGACAACAAACGUGUCGACGACGACGACUCACCAUUCCGUCCCGAAUUCAGCCCAAUCAUACCUAACCCAUACGAUAGAACACCACUAACCGCCCACACGCCAAAUCCAACCGCACCUGAAACUAACCCUAAACUACCUGAAAUAAUUGAAAACGGCAACGUAACAAUCUUCCAAGCAAGCCCCGGCGGACCACCAGCAGCACCAACAAGUCCGGUUUCUACUUGUUCAGGAUUCGUGCUAGAAGUAGUAGCUUCAGAUGCAUCUGCAUCAGCAGCAGCACGAGGAUUGGAAGUGAAAUUUGAUAACGCUAAUUCGAGAUCCCAAUUAUGUGCAGUGAGAAUCUCCGCACACAAAUCGGGAUCAUCAAGUCCAGUAAUCGCUUGAAAAUAAGCAACUUUAUCAGCUACAUCGCCCAUUUCUGAUCUCUCCUGCUCCAAAUUCUUCCGAUUAUGCUUACAAUUUCUG